UGGGGAAUUUUGGACAAUGGGCGAAAGCCUGAUCCAGCAAUGCCGCGUGUGUGAAGAAGGCCUUCGGGUUGUAAAGCACUUUUGUCCGGAAAGAAAUCCUUGGCUCUAAUACAGUCGGGGGAUGACGGUACCGGAAGAAUAAGCACCGGCUAACUACGUGCCAGCAGCCGCGGUAAUACGUAGGGUGCAAGCGUUAAUCGGAAUUACUGGGCGUAAAGCGUGCGCAGGCGGUUUGCUAAGACCGAUGUGAAAUCCCCGGGCUCAACCUGGGAACUGCAUUGGUGACUGGCAGGCUAGAGUAUGGCAGAGGGGGUAGAAUAUCCACGUGUAGCAGUGAAAUGCGUAGAGAUGUGGAGGAAUACCGAUGGCGAAGGCAGCCCCCUGGGCCAAUACUGACGCUCAUGCACGAAAGCGUGGGGAGCAAACAGGAUUAGAUACCCUGGUAGUCCACGCCCUAAACGAUGUCAACUAGUUGUUGGGGACUUCAUUUUCCUUAGUAACGUAGCUAACGCGUGAAGUUGACCGCCUGGGGAGUACGGUCGCAAGAUUAAAACUUAAAUGAAUUGACGGGGUCAUAGCUG
RNAcentral lists this ribosomal RNA (581 nucleotides) under uncultured bacterium. Its description in RNAcentral is "partial 16S ribosomal RNA". It matches the Rfam family "Bacterial small subunit ribosomal RNA", at positions 355 to 932 of the family's 1533-position model. The record is from RNAcentral.